GAGUUUGAUCAUGGCUCAGAACAUACGCUGGCGGCACGCCUAACACAUGCAAGUCGAACGAAGUAGCAAUACUUAGUGGCAGACGGGUGAGUAACAUGUAGGUAUCUGCCCUUUGGCCUGGAAUAACACGAGGAAACUUGUGCUAAUACCGGAUAAGUCUUUACGGAGAAAGCUUUACGCACCAUUGGAUGAGCCUGCACUUGAUUAGUUUGUUGGUGGGGUAAUGGCCUACCAAGACUGUGAUCAAUAGCUGAUUUGAGAGGAUGAUCAGCCACAUUGGGACUGAGACACGGCCCAAACUCCUACGGGAGGCAGCAGUGGGGAAUCUUGCACAAUGGAGGAAACUCUGAUGCAGCGAUGCCGCGUGAGUGAAGAAGGCCCUUGGGUUGUAAAGCUCUUUCGUCGGGGAAGAAAAUGACUGUACCCGAAUAAGAAGGUCCGGCUAACUUCGUGCCAGCAGCCGCGGUAAUACGAAGGGACUUAGCGUAGUUCGGAAUUACUGGGCUUAAAGAGUUCGUAGGUGGUUGAAAAAGUUGGUGGUGAAAUCCCAGAGCUUAACUCUGGAACUGCCAUCAAAACUUUUCAGCUAGAGUAUGAUAGAGGAAAGCAGAAUUUCUAGUGUAGAGGUGAAAUUCGUAGAUAUUAGAAAGAAUACCAAUUGCGAAGGCAGCUUUCUGGAUCAUUACUGACACUGAGGAACGAAAGCAUGGGUAGCGAAGAGGAUUAGAUACCCUCGUAGUCCAUGCCGUAAACGAUGUGUGUUAGACGUUGGAAAUUUAUUUUCAGUGUCGCAGCGAGAGCGAUAAAUACACCGCCUGGGGAGUACGACCGCAAGGUUAAAACUCAAAUGAAUUGACGGGGACCCGCACAAGUAGUGGAGCAUGUGGUUUAAUUCGAAGAUACGCGCAGAACCUUACCAACACUUGACAUGUUCGUCGCGACUCUAAGAGAUUAGAGUUUUCGGUUCGGCCGGACGAAACACAGGUGCUGCAUGGCUGUCGUCAGCUCGUGUCGUGAGAUGUUGGGUUAAGUCCCGCAACGAGCGCAACCCUCACUUUUAGUUGCCAUCAUUAAGUUGGGCACUCUGAAAGAACUGCCAGUGAUAAGCUGGAGGAAGGUGGGGAUGACGUCAAGUCCUCAUGGCCCUUACGUGUUGGGCUACACACGUGCUACAAUGGUAUCUACAACAGGAAGCAAAACUGCGAAGUUAAGCAAAUCCCUAAAAGAUACCUCAGUUCGGAUUGCACUCUGCAACUCGAGUGCAUGAAGCUGGAAUUACUAGUAAUCGUGGAUCAGCGUGCCACGGUGAAUGCGUUCCCGGGUCUUGUACACACCGCCCGUCACACCAUGGGAGUUGGUUCUACCUUAAGGCAAGGUUUUAAACCCUUGACCACGGUAUAGUCAGCGACUGGGGUGAAGUCGUAACAAGGUAACC
This 1435-nucleotide ribosomal RNA is filed under the name uncultured marine bacterium. Its description in RNAcentral is "bacterial SSU rRNA". It matches the Rfam family "Bacterial small subunit ribosomal RNA". The record is from RNAcentral.